Long non-coding RNA from Cyprinus carpio (common carp), 1257 nucleotides. Lineage: Eukaryota; Metazoa; Chordata; Actinopteri; Cypriniformes; Cyprinidae. The record is from Ensembl.
CACUGAAUCAUGGACAUCAUCAAUCUGACGUGUGCAGAGAUUCAGACUCCAGCGGGGUUUGUGUAUGUGAUUCUGUCUGUUAUAAUGAAUCAAACUAAUAAUCCUGACUGUGAGCAGAGCUGGUAUCUACAGGAUGGACUUAAGAUAGCAGAUCCAUCAGAUCCUCAAACACUGAUUGCUCCUGUGAUUUCUGUGUCUUCUGAUCGUCUCGUCACGUCUCGCUGUGUGAAUCUGAUUCAUGAGAUCCGCUGUGAUGCUUCAGGAUCUCAUUCCAGUCGUGAGACCAUGUUCAGAGUGAGGAAUGAAACUGCAGCGACUCCAAACUCAGAUCUCCUGAAUGAAGCGUCUCUCCAGUACUCAGAUCAGCUGUGGUGGCUUCUGGCUGUUUUCAUCAUCAUUUUUCUGGUAUUUCUCUGUUUCUUGCUGCGUAAAAGGAUCUUCAGGACACUGAUGAAGGUCAGAUCUGAUGAUCCUCAUGCAGUGCAGGAAUCUGAGCAGUUCAAAGCUCCUGAGAUUGAGGUCUGAAUCUACAUCACGGCUCAUUCUUCAUAUCAGCUCAAACUGAACGAGGCACAAAGCUGAUUUCCAGAACCUUCACCGUCUCUGUUCCUCUGAUCCACCAGCCUCCACACCAUCUCCUCAAACCAUCACGACUGAUGCUGAAGACAUCUGAACCAGUCCACAACAUUAAAAACCAAAUAUUGAUUUGAUUUAGUUAAUAGAAGUUAAUUGGUAAAAAAAAAAUCCAUUUAUGACAAUAUUUUUGAAAGCAUCCUUACUUUAAAGCAUAUUUACACAAGUGCCUAAAACUUCUCACAGUACUGUAGCUUUGGAGGCAGGUUUCUUAAAAUGUCAUAAAAAAAAUUUAUGACAGUUUUUAACAUUUUUUGUCCUCUAAGGACCUCAGAGUAACUUUAAUUUAAAAAUUAUGCACAAGGGUAAAUUAGUGCAGUUAAUAUGUCUGUGGAUGGCACAGGUCUACUUAUUAAAAAAAAGUUAAAGUGUUGAAGGAUUUGAUGAUUUUACUAUACAAUACAAUGUAACAUUUAUUCCAAUGUGUAAUUUCUAUUAGUGCAAUACAAUCUCAUGUGCAAUCAGGAAGACAAGAGAUUUUCAUUGGGACAGUAUUAUUUCAGCUUCAAUUAAUUUUGGAACAGACACAUAACGGAUCCCUCACACACAGAAACAAACAAUACUGUCAGUGCUGCCCUGCGAUUUGUCAAUAAAGAUACUUAGAAACAGAAAAGUUAUAGCGAA